RNAcentral lists this ribosomal RNA (503 nucleotides) under uncultured bacterium. RNAcentral's name for it is "partial 16S ribosomal RNA". It matches the Rfam family "Bacterial small subunit ribosomal RNA", at positions 29 to 523 of the family's 1533-position model. The record is from RNAcentral.
AAUGAACGCUGGCGGCGUGUCUUAAGCAUGCAAGUCGUGCGGCAAGGUUAGCAAUACCCCUAUAGCGGCGGACCGGUGAGUAACGCGGGGGCGAUCUGCCCUUGGGGCGGGGAUAGCCAUCAGAAAUAGUGGGUAAUACCGAAUACGCGGGCGAGACUGUGGGCUUGUCAUGUCAGGCGCUUCGGCGCCCCCCGGGGAUGAGCCCGGGUCCCAUUAGCGAGUUGGUGAGGGAACGGCCCACCAAGGCGAUGAUGGGUAGGCGGCCUGAGAGGGUGUACGCCCACACUGGGACUGAGAUACGGCCCAGACUCCUACGGGAGGCAGCAGUAAAGAAUAUUCCGCAAUGGACGAAAGUCUGAUGGAGCGACGCCGCGUGGAUGACGAAGGCCGAAAGGUUGUAAGGUCCUGUUGUUGGGGAAGAAUAAGGCUGGGAGGGAAUGCCCGGCUCAUGACGUGAACCGACGAAUAAGUCCCGGCUAACUACGUGCCAGCAGCCGCCGUAA